Long non-coding RNA from Osmia lignaria (orchard mason bee), 3230 nucleotides. RefSeq lists it as uncharacterized. Lineage: Eukaryota; Metazoa; Arthropoda; Insecta; Hymenoptera; Megachilidae. The record is from RefSeq and is a predicted model, not a curated record.
UAAUGUUAUAUAAAAAUCAAUGUCAAGUAAUAAAGAGCACCAAAGAGACCAUAGCACAAUUAGUGGUUAUGUGAAAUCAAUUAUUUGCAACAUAAAUUCAAAUUACAAAUAACUAAGUUAAUAAAAUUGGUAAAAGAACUAAAAUACUAAAUAUGUAUUUGUUCACUUUUUCUUUCCUCCGCAGUACUUAUGUUCAAUACAGUACUGCUUUUACUCUUCUGAUACAUACUACAUUCGUGAAACAAAAUCGAUUAUUGUUGAGAUCAAUGAAUUUAAUGUUAUAUGCACGAAAAUGUUUCGUACAAAAAUACACAAUAAAAAUAUUAUAUUUCAAAAAAUUAAGAAAAAAUAAGUUUUCCAACAAAAAUAUGGUCACUCCUGGAAAUUACACACGACCGUCAGAAUGGCUCAAGUUCAAGAUUGAAUUUCCCACCAACUUAAAAAGAGUUUAAAUAAGCAGUGACUACAAAUACACAAAGACUGGACAUGCCUUUAUUCUCGAGGGGUCUCAGACACCCCCAUGUGAGAUAGGUCCGUACGAUCCCCUGUGGCUCGAGGGGCUUAGAAUACGGCCACGGUAUCCCCUGCCUGUCGUAAGAGGCGACUAAAAGGGGGAUGUAAAGGAACGAGUAAGAUGAGUGGACAUAAAAGUACAGAAAGAGUGUGAGAUUUAAAAGUACGGACAAGUAUGAGUGGAAUUAAAAGUACAGAAUCAUAUAGCAUAAAUAAUGUAAUUGAAAAUGGCGCGAUAAUGCGCGUGGCCGAUAACUUUUCGUUGGGCAAAAAGGGACAGAUCCAAGUCCCUAGAUUACGCCACUCUCAAUAGAGAAAAACUUAUGAAGUGAAGUAGUAGGUUCGUACGUAACUCGAGCACACUUGGCGUCCAUCGCGCCUGUUUUACCAGUCCCAACGACUCCAGAUCCAUGUGUAGUCACCUCCCGAUGCAAAGGAUGUGGAGAUUAGUGAUUUAACGUUAGUGGUAGUUCCCGCGACUUACAUGAAGCUAGUCGGAAGGAAUAAUAAAAUAUGAUUAUUUUUAAUUUUUCUUAGUGUAUUACGUUUGUAAAUCGUUUCCGAUUGAUUAUGCAUUUUCAGCUUUGGGGUCCCGGAUCGGAUCAGGUCGUACUCAUCACUAUUCCGAACAAAUUCCAUGGCGUUGAAUAAUUUCGACACGAACUCUGACAAUAUAUCCAGUUGCCUUCCUUCACAAUUUUCAAUGGUGUUUGCAACUGAGUUCCAUAUCUGAGACAGAAUGUCAAUUGUACUCUUCUCGCCCGCGUAAUUUAGUUUUCCAAUCAUGGACGUCAGUGUCAUCUUGCGAAGAGAAGAAAGAUUGAAAUCAUUAGGAUUUUCUACAUUUGAAAUUCAAAUUGCACGAAUUUGAAUACUACCUUAAUUAACCAUAACUUACAAUACGAUUCCAAUUUUGCACAGUCGGUUGUCGCUGCAAUUCUAUGAACGUGCUAGGAAUCUCAUUAAGCACGCAAGCCAACUGAUUUUGCAAAAACAAUUUCGUUUUCGAAGGUAAAAAUCGCGCAAGAGGUAUCCACGAAGGAUUCUCAAGAUCCUCUAAUUCCAUCAGAAUGUUGUGUCUUGUUUCUUCAGCCAAUAAACUGUAAAGUCUUCCGAUUAGGUUCUCCAAUAUGAUUACUUCAAAGCUGUUAUUGCGCUUCAUCAAAGCGGCAUAGACUCUUAAUAAAUAUUUCACGUGGCUGGCACAGAGUUCUGAUGAACCAAUGCUGAAAAACAAAACUAAAAUUAAAAAAUAAGAUCUAUAAUUAAUUUCUGUUAAAAGGAAGAGAUUAAAGAAUUAAAGAACUGAAACGUAACCACUGGUCUCAAACAGAGAAAUAAAUGAUUUACAAACCGGCCAAUAAAACACCAAACAUCUGAGCUGAGCAUAGAGCUCCAAAGCCUAUUGUUUAGCAAAUGCUUCAACAAAAUUAAUUCCAUAGCAUGAAACCCAUCUGCUGGAAUCUGACUGAUAAGACAGCAGAUUGGUACCAAGGUGGCUUCGUACAGAGAAGCUUUUUCUGGUCUUUCUCCAAUUUCAUGAGCACCUUGUAUUUUUAUUUGACCCAUGCAGAUCUCUUCCUGUACUUUUUAAGAGAAUUAAAUAUAAGCAUCAUGACAAAUGUAAUCAAAUAAUUAGAAUAUAUGAAAGAAAUGAUUGCAAGUGCAACAUGGUAAGAUUCAGAUAUUAAAAUUUAAUGAGAAGUAUAAAUAAAUUAUAUACCAGACAAAUUGUUUUCAUGUUAAAAAGAAUUCAGAAAUACUUACUAUCAUUAAUGUUUGUAAAAGCGAUAUCAAUUAUUGACUCAGAGCCCAACGUCCAAUUACAGUGUUGUUUAUAUGGUAUACUAAUUAAUUUCUUCAUGAUGCUGAUUGUUAAUAAAUGAUAGCCUAAUCUAUCGAUUUUUGUUUGAUUGCCAUACUCGAAGAAUGCCUGAAAUAUUAUUAAAAAGUGAAUCUUUGAACUAGUGAUUGAAUAAAAGUAAAAAAACGAACCUGUUUGAAAUGGGGUGUUUCAAAGACAGUAUUUAGAAAUGGUUCAACACUCCUUGAAAUGUGUAAAUUCAGCAAUGUAAUUGUUCUGCUAUCAGUCUGCGUUUCUUUCUCACACAAAGGAUAACACCUGAUUGUGGAGAAUAAUAAAAAAUAAGGCAGUUAAAAUAUACAUAUAUUAAGCCAUUCCCAAAGUUUGAUAAUCAUAAUAAUUUUUUGGAUAAUUUAAUAUUUUAAAAUUAAAAAUGGAAUUGACUGCAACUGAAUACCUGUGCAUUUGUAAAAGAAUUUCAAUUACACGGAGAAGAAUUUCGUUGUUUAUAUCGGAUGAAUAUGUUGCAAAUAAUUUGUCCAAUAUUUUUAACAUGCGACCAACAACUUUGAUGCUUCUCUCCUCGAUUGGAUUGGAAGAAUCCUAAAUCAAACAUAAAUUAUAUUAAACUUAAGGUUUAUUUUAUUUCUUGAAUAAUUAUCCUUUCUUCAAUUAAUAAGCACAUAUAAUAUUAAUUAAAAUGUACCUGAAAUAAUGAAAGCGUUCUAAUUACAUCUUUCGUCAUUUCUACGAGAUGAGAAGUUACGCUUUCCACAUUAAUUCUCUUCACCACAAGUUGAUGCUUGAUUGCCAUAUCACAAAAACUUUUGGAUGUUUCUACGAACGUAUGUGGAUUUAAAUCAUGCGAUAUAGUCAUUAAUGACCCAAUAGAAUCGAUUACUGUAAAAAAAAA